UAACCUGCCUCACGACAGGGGGAGUAGCAGCUGGAAACGGGCUGGUAAUACCGACAUAAGACCACGGCAUCGCAUGAUGGCAGUGGUAAAAAGAUUUAUCGGUGUGAGAUGGAUCCGCGUCUGAUUAGCCAGUUGGCGGGUAACGGCCCACCAAGGCGACGAUCAGUAGCCGGCCUGAGAGGGUGAACGGCCACAUUGGGACUGAGACACGGCCCAAACUCCUACGGGAGGCAGCAGUGGGGAAUAUUGCACAAUGGGCGCAAGCCUGAUGCAGCAACGCCCGCGUGAGUGAAGAAGUAUUUCGGUAUGUAAAGCUCUAUCGGCAGGGAAGAAAGGCCCUAUAAGGGAGAUGACGGUACCUGACUAAGAAGCCCCGGCUAACUACGUGCCAGCCGCCGC
This 399-nucleotide ribosomal RNA is filed under the name uncultured bacterium. Its description in RNAcentral is "bacterial SSU rRNA". It matches the Rfam family "Bacterial small subunit ribosomal RNA", at positions 122 to 518 of the family's 1533-position model. The record is from RNAcentral.